RNAcentral lists this small RNA (435 nucleotides) under Histoplasma ohiense. RNAcentral describes it as "hypothetical lncRNA". Lineage: Eukaryota; Fungi; Ascomycota; Eurotiomycetes; Onygenales; Ajellomycetaceae. The record is from RNAcentral.
GAUGAGACUAUCUGCUUAAUCAGAUAAUCUACUUUCUCAUUGCUCUCUAUUUUCAUAUACUCAGAGACUCAUUUCAGAUUCAUAUUAUAUUGUCUGAGAAGCUCAUGACAGCAGCUGUAGACUCAGUUUGAGAAGACUGCUGCACUGCUCUGUAUGUUUCAGAUGACUGAGAUAUUGUCAAGACAGAGUCAGAUCUGAAAGUUGAUUGUGAGAUGUAGUGACAGUGUGAAGAGUAACAGUAGAAGAUAGUUUAUAGUAUAGCAGAGAUAAUAGUAAUAUAUUGUAGAGUGUAGUAUAGUAGCAUAACAUAGUGUAGCUAAUUGCUAAGAAAGAAAAGAAAGAGAAAGAAGAUGUGCGAAAUACAUACAUAAAUAUAUAUAUACAUAUAGAAAUAGCAGUAGUGAGAGUAUAAUGGAAAGAGAUAAGAAUAAGCAA